This 460-nucleotide ribosomal RNA is filed under the name uncultured bacterium. RNAcentral describes it as "partial 16S ribosomal RNA". It matches the Rfam family "Bacterial small subunit ribosomal RNA", at positions 338 to 795 of the family's 1533-position model. The record is from RNAcentral.
CCUACGGGAGGCAGCAGUGAGGAAUAUUGGUCAAUGGACGAGAGUCUGAACCAGCCAAGUAGCGUGAAGGAUGACUGCCCUAUGGGUUGUAAACUUCUUUUAUAUGGGAAUAAAAUGUUCCACGUGUGGGAUUUUGUAUGUACCAUAUGAAUAAGGAUCGGCUAACUCCGUGCCAGCAGCCGCGGUAAUACGGAGGAUCCGAGCGUUAUCCGGAUUUAUUGGGUUUAAAGGGAGCGUAGGUGGAUUGUUAAGUCAGUUGUGAAAGUUUGCGGCUCAACCGUAAAAUUGCAGUUGAAACUGGCAGUCUUGAGUACAGGAGAGGUGGGCGGAAUUCGUGGUGUAGCGGUGAAAUGCUUAGAGAUCACGAAGAACUCCGAUUGCGAAGGCAGUUCACUGGACUGCAACUGACACUGAGGCUCGAAAGUGUGGGUAUCAAACAGGAUUAGAUACCCGAGUAGUC